AAGGUCCUCCCCGUAGUCCUCGGGUGCCUUUCAGGAGCCUCCCUGUGAAGAGCCAAGGCGCUGUCUCUGUGAGCGGUGGUGUGGAAAUACCCGUCUGGACUUCACCUGCACCCAGGAAAGAGCCAAAAAGGAAAAGCUGGACGAGGGAGACAGCAGGGUGUAUCUCCAAGGGAUGAAUCUGAAAGACGUUUGGUCCUGCUCCCAAGGGAUGUCUUUAUGCCUGCUCCCGUGUUGGCAGACCCGAGGCUGCUGUUUGCAUCUCUAGCAGCAGACAGAUCAGACCCCGGGCUUUCUGUGACUCAAGCUCCUGAUUUGGCCAACCCAGCUCAUGCUAAGGCCUCAUGUGUGCUGGGAGCAGCAGCAUUGGAUUGAAGCAGAGCCACGUAGGCAGGACAGGGAGCCAGGAAGAACUAAUGGGCCUUUAUGCAGCCAUGGUGAAAACAGUGAUUUUAGCUGAAUUGGAAGGAAUAGCACCUCUUGCUCCAGGAGCUUGACAACCCCGCCCAACUGAACUGCAUCCUUGGGAGGUGAUUUGGGAGCCUGCACACUUCUGAAAUGUGUCUAAUGGAAGCUGAGGGGAUGUGGGAAUCUUUAGCAUUGGCCAUUAAGACAAGCUUAAGUGGUAUUACUCUCCAAGAGGUCCUUCAGUGUAGGCUGGCAGAUUUACCACUAUACAUCCCAGACGGUAAAAGCCAAGGGAGAUCCUCAGCUGAGAAAAUGUAAAAGAGCCAGCCUAUCUCCAUGUGAAAGACAAAAGGGAAAAUUGAGAAACAUGGUCAGUUACUACUGAGUGUAAAAGAUGAGUUUAGAGAAGAAGCUGUCUCUGAGAUGCCAACUUUCCUUCUGUGGCAAUGAACAAGUUUUCCUCUUUUAUUUCUCAUAACCCUCUGGGAUCUGUGUUUGGAGACAGGGUGACACCAUAUGUUCAAAGGUGUUAAAAAUGACAAUAUAAUAUUGGCUUUCACAUUUAUGUACUAACUUUUACAUGUUGUUAUUGAUCAUAAAUAUUUAGAUAUGGUACAAUUUGUAACUCCUUUUGGCUGCUUAUUAGUGUAACACAAUCUAUUAGUUUUUGCACUGUGUAGCUUGUAGAAGUAGUGGUGUGAUGAAUGUAUUCUAUUGUAGGCCUUAGCAAAACACAAAAUGUUAAAAUGCUCCUGUGUAACUAAGGGAAUAGUGUAGGGCAAUUACGCUUGUUUCCCCCACAUCUGCUGACUGACCUCUCCAAGUGAUAAGAUAACAGUGACACAAACCGGAGCAUGGAGAAGAAUUAUAGAAGAACUUGUUAACUCCUUAUCAGGGAGUGUGAAACAACAGGAUGGAAACACAAGAAGAAAUAAAAUAUAUGGACUUAGCCCACAGGAUGUCAUGCAGAUAAGUCAGAGUGUAAAAUUAAGCAAAAGAGUUCCUGAAACAUCAAAAAGCUCACAAGAAUGCUUGAAUAAUGUAUGAAACACAUGAAUAUGCAUGCACCUCAGUAAUGUAACGGUAUACAGAUAACACUGUCUUAAUCUGCUGUUGUGUCCUUUGGCCAAUAGCUAAAACACCCCAGUGCUAGACAUUGUCCCCUUUUAUCCCCUCAUUAAACUUUUAAAAAUUC
Cyanistes caeruleus (blue tit) is the source of this 1600-nucleotide non-coding RNA. The record is from RefSeq and is a predicted model, not a curated record. NCBI's taxonomy places the organism in Eukaryota, Metazoa, Chordata, Aves, Passeriformes, Paridae.